GGGGCCGUAACGGUUUCGACAGGUUAGCGAAAGCUCCCCCGUGAUACAGGUCGAGAGUGAGUCUCCUCUCGUAAAUCAAAGGCUCAAACAAAAAGUAAAUGCGAACAACAUCGUUCCUUUCGCUCGUAAAGCCGCUCCUGUAGCUGCCUAAUAGUCUCUAAUCGACUCGAGCAUUCAUAGUUUGACUCCGUUAAGGACUAUGGAU
RNAcentral lists this transfer-messenger RNA (205 nucleotides) under Microcystis wesenbergii FACHB-1339. Its description in RNAcentral is "partial transfer-messenger RNA". It matches the Rfam family "transfer-messenger RNA", at positions 1 to 184 of the family's 374-position model. From Rfam's summary of the family: Bacterial tmRNA, also known as 10Sa RNA or SsrA, is named for its dual tRNA and mRNA-like properties. Its role is to liberate the mRNA from a stalled ribosome. The record is from RNAcentral. Lineage: Bacteria; Bacillati; Cyanobacteriota; Cyanophyceae; Chroococcales; Microcystaceae.